This 746-nucleotide ribosomal RNA is filed under the name Bacillus sp. 'Bacillus M14'. Its description in RNAcentral is "bacterial SSU rRNA". It matches the Rfam family "Bacterial small subunit ribosomal RNA", at positions 41 to 769 of the family's 1533-position model. The record is from RNAcentral. Lineage: Bacteria; Bacillati; Bacillota; Bacilli; Caryophanales; Bacillaceae.
GGCGUGCCUAAUAAUGCAACGUCGAGCGGACAGAUGGGAGCUUGCUCCCUGAUGUUAGCGGCGGACGGGUGAGUAACACGUGGGUAACCUGCCUGUAAGACUGGGAUAACUCCGGGAAACCGGGGCUAAUACCGGAUGGUUGUUUGAACCGCAUGGUUCAAACAUAAAAGGUGGCUUCGGCUACCACUUACAGAUGGACCCGCGGCGCAUUAGCUAGUUGGUGAGGUAACGGCUCACCAAGGCAACGAUGCGUAGCCGACCUGAGAGGGUGAUCGGCCACACUGGGACUGAGACACGGCCCAGACUCCUACGGGAGGCAGCAGUAGGGAAUCUUCCGCAAUGGACGAAAGUCUGACGGAGCAACGCCGCGUGAGUGAUGAAGGUUUUCGGAUCGUAAAGCUCUGUUGUUAGGGAAGAACAAGUACCGUUCGAAUAGGGCGGUACCUUGACGGUACCUAACCAGAAAGCCACGGCUAACUACGUGCCAGCAGCCGCGGUAAUACGUAGGUGGCAAGCGUUGUCCGGAAUUAUUGGGCGUAAAGGGCUCGCAGGCGGUUUCUUAAGUCUGAUGUGAAAGCCCCCGGCUCAACCGGGGAGGGUCAUUGGAAACUGGGGAACUUGAGUGCAGAAGAGGAGAGUGGAAUUCCACGUGUAGCGGUGAAAUGCGUAGAGAUGUGGAGGAACACCAGUGGCGAAGGCGACUCUCUGGUCUGUAACUGACGCUGAGGAGCGAAAGCGUGGGGAGC